Molecule: transfer RNA, 83 nt
Filed under: Oceanidesulfovibrio indonesiensis
Lineage: Bacteria; Pseudomonadati; Thermodesulfobacteriota; Desulfovibrionia; Desulfovibrionales; Desulfovibrionaceae
Description: Desulfovibrio indonesiensis tRNA
Rfam family: tRNA
About the family: Transfer RNA (tRNA) molecules are approximately 80 nucleotides in length.
Source: Rfam by way of RNAcentral
GGAGGGGUUCCCGAGUGGCCAAAGGGAACAGACUGUAAAUCUGUCGGCGUAUGCCUUCGGAGGUUCAAAUCCUCCCCCCUCCA